UGUUCUGUGGCUUAGUUGAUAAAGUUGUCGGACUAACGAUACGGAGUCGUGGGUUCGAAUCCCACCAAAACAA
Aedes albopictus (Asian tiger mosquito) is the source of this 73-nucleotide non-coding RNA. NCBI's taxonomy places the organism in Eukaryota, Metazoa, Arthropoda, Insecta, Diptera, Culicidae. The record is from Rfam.